This 465-nucleotide ribosomal RNA is filed under the name uncultured bacterium. Its description in RNAcentral is "partial 16S ribosomal RNA". It matches the Rfam family "Bacterial small subunit ribosomal RNA", at positions 339 to 795 of the family's 1533-position model. The record is from RNAcentral.
CUACGGGUGGCUGCAGUGAGGAAUUUUGCGCAAUGGGGGAAACCCUGACGCAGCAACGCCGCGUGAGUGAUGAAGGCUUUCGGGUCGUAAAGCUCUGUCAAGUGGGAAGAACAUACAUAAGGCCAAUACCUUUAUGUACUGACGGUACCACUGAAGGAAGCACCGGCUAACUCCGUGCCAGCAGCCGCGGUAAUACGGGGGGUGCAAGCGUUAUUCGGAAUCAUUGGGCGUAAAGAGCACGUAGGCGGUUAUCUAAGUCAGAUGUGAAAGCCCGGGGCUUAACCCCGGAAGUGCAUUUGAUACUGGGAAACUUGAGUAUGGGAGAGGGAAGUGGAAUUCCUGGUGUAGAGGUGAGAUUCGUAGAUAUCAGGAGGAACACCGGUGGCGAAGGCGACUUCCUGGACCAAUACUGACGCUGAGGUGCGAAGGCGUGGGGAGCAAACAGGAUUAGAUACCCGAGUAGUC